AGAAAAGCCCUUUUUCAAUAACUCAAUUCUUCCAAAACUUGCCCUAAUGCAUCGAAACUCACCCAAGCAAUUGUAUCCAAUCAUUCCUACCAGUCCAAAUACCCUAUAUGGACUCAUUUAAAGUCUCAAAAUACCUAAGGGAACAUCAUAACAAAGAAUCAAGGCUCAAACUGAAUAGAAUUUCUCUUAAGUUCUUAAAUCUUCAUUUGUUCAAAAGAGUGUCUAAAUCACACGUAAGCACUUUGUCUUGCAGGUGCCAUU
RNAcentral lists this long non-coding RNA (261 nucleotides) under Nicotiana benthamiana. RNAcentral describes it as "long non-coding RNA (NBEN_LNC005412)". The record is from RNAcentral. Lineage: Eukaryota; Viridiplantae; Streptophyta; Magnoliopsida; Solanales; Solanaceae.